Molecule: long non-coding RNA, 341 nt
Organism: Peromyscus eremicus (cactus mouse)
Lineage: Eukaryota; Metazoa; Chordata; Mammalia; Rodentia; Cricetidae
Exons: 4
Source: RefSeq, a predicted model, not a curated record
GCCCCUGUUCUGAGACUGAACUUGGCACAAAGGCAAGAGAGUUGUGUGUGUAUGUGCAUGCACAGAUGCCACGGAGUCCAGAGAAUGUACCAGAUGUCCUGGAGCCAGAGCUACAGGAGGUUAUGAACCCUAAGAGGUGAACACAGUCUUUGUCUCUGAGAUGCUUGCUGUUCGUGUCCUUGCAGAUUCUGGAAGAUGACUGACAUUGGAGACACAUUAACAAACGGCUUUCACCAUUGUCUCGGACUCUGACCCUCUGAAACCCUAUUCUGAAGAUUCUAGCACAGCUCUGGCAAACGGUGAAGACCGAGAAGGCACUGGAGGGCACCAGCCCAGGGACA